Molecule: ribosomal RNA, 259 nt
Filed under: uncultured crenarchaeote
Lineage: Archaea; Thermoproteati; Thermoproteota
Description: partial 16S ribosomal RNA
Rfam family: Archaeal small subunit ribosomal RNA
Source: RNAcentral
ACGGUGAGGGAUGAAAGCUGGGGGAGCGAACCGGAUUAGAUACCCGGGUAGUCCCAGCCGUAAACGAUGCGAGCUAGAUGAUUCGAUCGCAGUUCGCGAUCGAAGUGUCGCAGGGAAGCCGUUAAGCUCGCCGCCUGGGGAGUACGGUCGCAAGGCUGAAUUGCGAUCAGAAGCAUUCUGACGCACAGUUCACUUAAAGGAAUUGGCGGGGGAGCACCACAAGGGGUGAAGCCUGCGGUUCAAUUGGAGUCAACGCCGA